Molecule: ribosomal RNA, 2351 nt
Filed under: Salmonella enterica subsp. enterica
Lineage: Bacteria; Pseudomonadati; Pseudomonadota; Gammaproteobacteria; Enterobacterales; Enterobacteriaceae
Description: bacterial LSU rRNA
Rfam family: Bacterial large subunit ribosomal RNA
Source: RNAcentral
GUGACUGCGUACCUUUUGUAUAAUGGGUCAGCGACUUAUAUUCUGUAGCAAGGUUAACCGAAUAGGGGAGCCGGAGGGAAACCGAGUCUUAACCGGGCGUUAAGUUGCAGGGUAUAGACCCGAAACCCGGUGAUCUAGCCAUGGGCAGGUUGAAGGUUGGGUAACACUAACUGGAGGACCGAACCGACUAAUGUUGAAAAAUUAGCGGAUGACCUGUGGCUGGGGGUGAAAGGCCAAUCAAACCGGGAGAUAGCUGGUUCUCCCCGAAAGCUAUUUAGGUAGCGCCUCGUGAAUUCAUCUCCGGGGGUAGAGCACUGUUUCGGCUAGGGGGCCAUCCCGGCUUACCAACCCGAUGCAAACUGCGAAUACCGGAGAAUGUUAUCACGGGAGACACACGGCGGGUGCUAACGUCCGUCGUGAAGAGGGAAACAACCCAGACCGCCAGCUAAGGUCCCAAAGUCAUGGUUAAGUGGGAAACGAUGUGGGAAGGCCCAGACAGCCAGGAUGUUGGCUUAGAAGCAGCCAUCAUUUAAAGAAAGCGUAAUAGCUCACUGGUCGAGUCGGCCUGCGCGGAAGAUGUAACGGGGCUAAACCAUGCACCGAAGCUGCGGCAGCGACACUGUGUGUUGUUGGGUAGGGGAGCGUUCUGUAAGCCUGUGAAGGUGUGUCGUGAGGCAUGCUGGAGGUAUCAGAAGUGCGAAUGCUGACAUAAGUAACGAUAAAGCGGGUGAAAAGCCCGCUCGCCGGAAGACCAAGGGUUCCUGUCCAACGUUAAUCGGGGCAGGGUGAGUCGACCCCUAAGGCGAGGCCGAAAGGCGUAGUCGAUGGGAAACGGGUUAAUAUUCCCGUACUUGGUGUUACUGCGAAGGGGGGACGGAGAAGGCUAUGUUGGCCGGGCGACGGUUGUCCCGGUUUAAGCGUGUAGGUGUGUGUUCCAGGUAAAUCCGGUUCACUUUAACACUGAGGCGUGACGACGAGGCACUACGGUGCUGAAGCAACAAAUGCCCUGCUUCCAGGAAAAGCCUCUAAGCAUCAGGUAACAUCAAAUCGUACCCCAAACCGACACAGGUGGUCAGGUAGAGAAUACCAAGGCGCUUGAGAGAACUCGGGUGAAGGAACUAGGCAAAAUGGUGCCGUAACUUCGGGAGAAGGCACGCUGACACGUAGGUGAAGUGAUUUACUCAUGGAGCUGAAGUCAGUCGAAGAUACCAGCUGGCUGCAACUGUUUAUUAAAAACACAGCACUGUGCAAACACGAAAGUGGACGUAUACGGUGUGACGCCUGCCCGGUGCCGGAAGGUUAAUUGAUGGGGUCAGCGCAAGCGAAGCUCCUGAUCGAAGCCCCGGUAAACGGCGGCCGUAACUAUAACGGUCCUAAGGUAGCGAAAUUCCUUGUCGGGUAAGUUCCGACCUGCACGAAUGGCGUAAUGAUGGCCAGGCUGUCUCCACCCGAGACUCAGUGAAAUUGAACUCGCUGUGAAGAUGCAGUGUACCCGCGGCAAGACGGAAAGACCCCGUGAACCUUUACUAUAGCUUGACACUGAACAUUGAGCCUUGAUGUGUAGGAUAGGUGGGAGGCUUUGAAGUGUGGACGCCAGUCUGCAUGGAGCCGACCUUGAAAUACCACCCUUUAAUGUUUGAUGUUCUAACGUGGACCCGUUACCCGGGUUGCGGACAGUGUCUGGUGGGUAGUUUGACUGGGGCGGUCUCCUCCUAAAGAGUAACGGAGGAGCACGAAGGUUGGCUAAUCCUGGUCGGACAUCAGGAGGUUAGUGCAAUGGCAUAAGCCAGCUUGACUGCGAGCGUGACGGCGCGAGCAGGUGCGAAAGCAGGUCAUAGUGAUCCGGUGGUUCUGAAUGGAAGGGCCAUCGCUCAACGGAUAAAAGGUACUCCGGGGAUAACAGGCUGAUACCGCCCAAGAGUUCAUAUCGACGGCGGUGUUUGGCACCUCGAUGUCGGCUCAUCACAUCCUGGGGCUGAAGUAGGUCCCAAGGGUAUGGCUGUUCGCCAUUUAAAGUGGUACGCGAGCUGGGUUUAGAACGUCGUGAGACAGUUCGGUCCCUAUCUGCCGUGGGCGCUGGAGAACUGAGGGGGGCUGCUCCUAGUACGAGAGGACCGGAGUGGACGCAUCACUGGUGUUCGGGUUGUCAUGCCAAUGGCACUGCCCGGUAGCUAAAUGCGGAAGAGAUAAGUGCUGAAAGCAUCUAAGCACGAAACUUGCCCCGAGAUGAGUUCUCCCUGAGACUUAGAGUCUCCUGAAGGAACGUUGAAGACGACGACGUUGAUAGGCCGGGUGUGUAAGCGCAGCGAUGCGUUGAGCUAACCGGUACUAAUGAACCGUGAGGCUUAACC